This is a small nuclear RNA of Suncus etruscus (white-toothed pygmy shrew), 161 nucleotides long. RefSeq annotates it as U1 spliceosomal RNA. The transcript has a single exon. The record is from RefSeq and is a predicted model, not a curated record. Lineage: Eukaryota; Metazoa; Chordata; Mammalia; Eulipotyphla; Soricidae.
UUCCUUACCUGGCAGGGGAUAUACCAUGAUCACGAAGGUGGUUUUCCCAGGUUGAGGCUUAUCCAUUGCACUCCGGAUGUGCUGACCCCUGCGAUUUCCCCAAAUGUAAAAACAAAACAAAACAAAAUAAAACCCAAAAAAUGACUUUCCUCAUUUUUUUC